This is a small nuclear RNA of Zalophus californianus (California sea lion), 134 nucleotides long. Its record names the gene U4. It matches the Rfam family "U4 spliceosomal RNA". Rfam says of the family: U4 small nuclear RNA (U4 snRNA) is a component of the major U2-dependent spliceosome. NCBI's taxonomy places the organism in Eukaryota, Metazoa, Chordata, Mammalia, Carnivora, Otariidae. The record is from Ensembl.
AGCUUUGCACAAUGCCAGUAUCACAGCCAAUAAGAUUUAUCUGAGGCGUGAUUAUUGCUAAUUGAAAACUUUUCCCAGCAUGUCUGUCUGGCUCAUUUGGGGGAACAUGUGACUCUUGAUCUCCCAGUCAUGGG